GGCGGACGGGUGAGUAACGCGUAGGAAUCUACCUAAUAGUGGGGGAUAGCCCAGGGAAACUUGGAUUAAUACCGCAUACGCCCUAAGGGGGAAAGCGGGGGAUCUUCGGACCUCGUGCUAUUAGAUGAGCCUGCGUAAGAUUAGCUAGUUGGUGAGGUAAGAGCUCACCAAGGCGACGAUCUUUAGCUGGUCUGAGAGGAUGAUCAGCCACACUGGGACUGAGACACGGCCCAGACUCCUACGGGAGGCAGCAGUGGGGAAUAUUGGACAAUGGGGGCAACCCUGAUCCAGCCAUGCCGCGUGUGUGAAGAAGGCCUUCGGGUUGUAAAGCACUUUCAGAUGUGAGGAAAGGUUGCAGAUUAAUACUCUGUAGCUGUGACGUUAACAUCAGAAGAAGGACCGGCUAACUCCGUGCCAGCAGCCGCGGUAAUACGGAGGGUCCGAGCGUUAAUCGGAAAUACUGGGCGUAAAGCGCGC
Molecule: ribosomal RNA, 477 nt
Filed under: uncultured Oceanospirillaceae bacterium
Lineage: Bacteria; Pseudomonadati; Pseudomonadota; Gammaproteobacteria; Oceanospirillales; Oceanospirillaceae
Description: bacterial SSU rRNA
Rfam family: Bacterial small subunit ribosomal RNA
Source: RNAcentral